This is a long non-coding RNA of Pieris rapae (cabbage white), 631 nucleotides long. RefSeq lists it as uncharacterized. The transcript is spliced from 2 exons. The record is from RefSeq and is a predicted model, not a curated record. Lineage: Eukaryota; Metazoa; Arthropoda; Insecta; Lepidoptera; Pieridae.
AUCCCGACAAAAGAUCGUUUAGUAUUAAAUGCCCUUGCUGAGACUGAAGACUGCAUUGUUCCCGGUCGAUCAAUGAAUCUUCACGCUUUUCAAAAAGUGGCAGAAGUCGCUUCCAAUGCAUUUUUGUCUUCCACAACUCGGAAAACAAAUUCCAUGGAAAAAGUAUAUUGGGACCUUGUCUUGUCGAGGACAAAGCAUGUCUGUGUAAACGCAGCUUCCAUAGACACGGGUGCCGCAGAUUAUGGGUUCCCAAAUAAUGAUUCCACCGACCAUUAUAGUAGACAUCCUUGGAACUUGAAGUGUAUCGGUAGGGAGAUACAGAACAUGUUAAGUUUCCUGGGUCCCGUGGUUGGAAUGACUGCGCCCACAUUACAUCUGGGAAUGCUGUUCUCGACGAGUUGCUGGCACAGAGACCCUCAUGGCCUCCCAUGGAUUGGGUAUAUGCAUUGUGCACGAUAGAAGUAUAUUUAAGAAGUUGCAUAUUAAACGUUGUUGCGGGGGUGCGGUGCGUGCGGGGCGCGACAAGUUGCACGACCGGUUUUGUAGUAAAUUUUGUUCACUUCUUCUCUUCGGCGCUGGACUUCGUGUCGUCCCCCCGUUCGCUCAGCUACUGCACGACAUUGAACAUUAA